RNAcentral lists this long non-coding RNA (832 nucleotides) under Homo sapiens (human). RNAcentral's name for it is "non-protein coding lnc-ATP6V1E1-2:2". Lineage: Eukaryota; Metazoa; Chordata; Mammalia; Primates; Hominidae. The record is from RNAcentral.
GGCGGAUCACCUGAGGUCAGGAGUUCAAGACCAGCCUGGCCAACAUGGUGAAACCCCGUCUCUACAACAAUACAAAAAUUAGCCAGGCGUGAUGGCAGGUGCCUGUAAUCCCAGCUACUGGGGAGGCUGACGCAGGAGAAUUGCUUGAACUCGGGAGGCAGAGGUUGCAGUGAGCCAAGAUCGCACCAUUGCACUCCUGCCUGGGCAACAGAGCGAGUCUCAAAAAAAACAAAACAAAUUGACACAUAGUGUCACUUGGUAAAUGACAGUUAUUGAGAUGAAUACAGUCAGUUCUCUGUAUCUUUGGGGUCCACACCUGUGAAUUCAACCAACUUUUUCUUUUCACUCCCUAAACACUACGGUAUAACAACCAUUUACAUCGUAUUAGCUAUUUUAAGUGCUGUAGACAUGAUUUGCAAUAUAGGGGAGGAUGUGUGAUGGUUGUAUGCAAAUACUACGCUGUUUCAUAUAAUGGACAUCUAGGCGGGGACUGGGGUUUCCUGAAACCAACUGUGCGUUACAUCUUCAGAAGCUUUUUCAGUUCCUUUCAAGCCUGUUGCUUAGGUUGCGCAGUCUACACACCAAGACAAGGGCAUUCCUCUGCGGGAGUAAAGGGUACCAUGUAUCUUUCUCAAGUCUUUGAAAAUGAUUAUUUCCUGUGCUUUUUUUUUUGCAGAGCUGGUGGAGUUGAGAUCUAUAAUGGAGAUCGUAAAAUAAAGGUUUCCAACACCCUGGAAAGCCGGCUGGAUCUCAUAGCCCAGCAGAUGAUGCCAGAAGUCCGGGGAGCCUUGUUUGGUGCAAAUGCCAACAGGAAGUUUUUGGACUAAGCCUU